UUUUCUUCAAGAUUGUUUCUUUGCCGAUUCUGACAGGCACUGUUAAUUAUUUCCCAUCAGAGUGCAAAUUGUUCGUCUGUUCUUGGUAUUCAAUCACUCUUCAUCCUGAUCAUCUGAAAGCCGAGGCUAUUCAUAUCGACAGGUUCACAGUGGAUUGAAUAGGGGCAGCUGUAACACCUCAAAAUUUGCCCUCCUCUCUUGGGACUAGCUUAACAUAUUGCAU
This 223-nucleotide long non-coding RNA is filed under the name Lathyrus oleraceus (garden pea). RNAcentral describes it as "Pisum sativum (pea) long non-coding RNA (PSAT_LNC010272)". The record is from RNAcentral. Lineage: Eukaryota; Viridiplantae; Streptophyta; Magnoliopsida; Fabales; Fabaceae.